UUGCUUUGGCAGCAUACAUACUAAGAUUGGAAAGAUACAGAGAGGAUUAGCUUGGCCCCUGCGCAAGGAUGACAUGCAAAUUCAUGAAGCAUUCCACAUUACA
This is a small nuclear RNA of Cercocebus atys (sooty mangabey), 103 nucleotides long. NCBI's taxonomy places the organism in Eukaryota, Metazoa, Chordata, Mammalia, Primates, Cercopithecidae. The record is from Ensembl.